UGGGGAAUCUUGCGCAAUGGGCGAAAGCCUGACGCAGCAACGCCGCGUGAGCGAAGAAGGCCUUCGGGUUGUAAAGCUCUGUCAGGGGGAAAGAAGGCACCUGGGUUAAUAGCCCAAGGGUUGACGGUACCCCCAAAGGAAGCCACGGCUAACUACGUGCCAGCAGCCGCGGUAAUACGUAGGUGGCGAGCGUUGUCCGGAAUCAUUGGGCGUAAAGAGCGCGUAGGUGGCUUGUCAGGUCUGAUGUGAAAACUUGGGGCUCAACCCCAAGCCUGCAUCGGAAACCGGCUUGCUAGAGUCUGGGAGAGGAGAGUGGAAUUCCUGGUGUAGCGGUGAAAUGCGUAGAUAUCAGGAGGAACACCGGUAGCGAAGGCGGCUCUCUGGAACAGUACUGACGCUGAGGCGCGAAAGCUAGGGGAGCGAACAG
Molecule: ribosomal RNA, 427 nt
Filed under: uncultured bacterium
Lineage: Bacteria
Description: bacterial SSU rRNA
Rfam family: Bacterial small subunit ribosomal RNA
Source: RNAcentral